RNAcentral lists this ribosomal RNA (253 nucleotides) under uncultured bacterium. RNAcentral's name for it is "partial 16S ribosomal RNA". It matches the Rfam family "Archaeal small subunit ribosomal RNA", at positions 474 to 727 of the family's 1478-position model. The record is from RNAcentral.
UACCCGCAGCACAAGUGGUGGUCAUUAUUAUUGGGCCUAAAGCGUCCGUAGCUGGCGUGUUAGAUGCCUGGGUAAAUCGAUGCGCUCAACGUAUCGAAUUCCGGGUAGACCGGCACGCUCGAGACCGGGAGAGGUGUAGGCUACUCGCGGGGUAGGGGUAAAAUCCUGUAAUCCUGCGGGGAGGACCAGUGGCGAAGGCGCUACACUAGAACGGCUCUGACAGUGAGGGACGAAGCCAUGGGGCGCAAACCGG